RNAcentral lists this ribosomal RNA (603 nucleotides) under Salmonella enterica subsp. enterica serovar Typhimurium. Its description in RNAcentral is "partial 23S ribosomal RNA". It matches the Rfam family "Bacterial large subunit ribosomal RNA", at positions 1 to 642 of the family's 2925-position model. The record is from RNAcentral. Lineage: Bacteria; Pseudomonadati; Pseudomonadota; Gammaproteobacteria; Enterobacterales; Enterobacteriaceae.
GUUAAGCGACUAAGCGUACACGGUGGAUGCCCUGGCAGUCAGAGGCGAUGAAGGGCGUGCUAAUCUGCGAUAAGCGCCGGUAAGGUGAUAUGAACCGUUAUAACCGGCGAUACCCGAAUGGGGAAACCCAGUGUGAUUCGUCACACUAUCAUUAACUGAAUCCAUAGGUUAAUGAGGCGAACCGGGGGAACUGAAACAUCUAAGUACCCCGAGGAAAAGAAAUCAACCGAGAUUCCCCCAGUAGCGGCGAGCGAACGGGGAGGAGCCCAGAGCCUGAAUCAGCAUGUGUGUUAGUGGAAGCGUCUGGAAAGGCGCGCGAUACAGGGUGACAGCCCCGUACACAAAAGCGCAUGUGCUGUGAGCUCGAUGAGUAGGGCGGGACACGUGGUAUCCUGUCUGAAUAUGGGGGGACCAUCCUCCAAGGCUAAAUACUCCUGACUGACCGAUAGUGAACCAGUACCGUGAGGGAAAGGCGAAAAGAACCCCGGCGAGGGGAGUGAAAAAGAACCUGAAACCGUGUACGUACAAGCAGUGGGAGCACAGGUUUACCUGUGUGACUGCGUACCUUUUGUAUAAUGGGUCAGCGACUUAUAUUCUGUAGCA